GUGAACUUCCUAAAAUUCCCCCAAUUCCUCUUUGCUGAUUUCUUUUGGGGAGAAGGAGGAAAGCAGAAUAGAUCAGGGAUUCCUUAAUAAUGACUUGGGGGAGUGGAUGUCAUUCUGUUCACAGUAACCCAAUAUUCUUGCAAAGGUUUCUUGCUUCUUAGAGAAACCUGAGAUUCUGAUAUCACCUUCAAUCCAGCCAACCAUUGAAAAAGCAAGAUUAUAGAGAAGCUAAACAACCAUAAUACUCACUCGUGGUUUCGAGUUCAUCCACCACUGCAGCGCAGUUCAUCCAUAGAUCGGAACUGGGAAGCUUUUGGCGUUUCUUUGGAGAAUUUCUCGAGGCAAUUGGUUUACUGACGAUUAAAAUUGGUACAUGAUAAAAUUCAGAAUCUCAAAUUCAACUGAAACAACAAUAAUAUCUUUAUUCGAUGAAGUGGAAUCAUUGAUCGGAUGUCCGGCAGCUGAAUACACAAAAUCAAUUGAAAAGCAUCGAGAGAAACUACAUUCUUGCAUAUCUAGAACAGAUUGUUUCUAUUUCAAGAUGCAUAAAAGUAAUGCAGUAAAUCGGACAACAAAAAGAAUUGUUGCUGAAAGCAUACAAGAAGUGAAGUGUGUGGACGAGACAGAUUCUGAAGAAAAUCAAAUAGCAAAACGAAGAAAGAAAUAGAGAACAAUACUUCUUUUGUUAUAUUCAAUUUAUGAGAUAUAUUUUGAGAUGUAAUUAAAUGUAGACUCAUGAGUUGAAUAUGUCAUUUGAUAAACUUUGAAAUGACAAGCAAUGACUAGCACCUCUAAUUUAUAAUUUCUCUACAUCCUAUCUACUAUUUAACUAAUGUUCUGACAUCUACAUAUGUUGUAGCUAAUUUAUUAAGUUUGACUCAAUUCUAAUUGUAUAUUCUUUAACCUUAAGUUCAUAAUUGUGUAUGCUUUCCUCUUCUAUAUUUUCUGGUAGACUUAUUACUAGUACAUACAAAUUGAUGUGUGGAUGGUGACACUAAAGUGGUUGGAAAAUACUGUUAAUACACAAUCUAUAAAUAUUUCAUUCUAUGGAGAGAUUAAAGGACUUGCAAAGUGUUAACUGGUGAUUCUGAAAGUUGUGAUUCUAUUUGUAAUACCCUACUUCUUAAACCCGAUCUAAUUACAGGGUUGACUCAGUUUAACUAUGUAGGACCCGAACCGGAGAGGGUUAACGCGGGUUCCUUAUGGACUAUGAUGACAAGGGUGACCUUAAACACUGACUGGCCAGAUAAGUCUGAGCCAAUGCCAGAGGAGACGGGGGUACCCAAGCCGUGUACAUGCUCCUAUCAUAAGGCCAUGUACGGAUA
Long non-coding RNA from Macadamia integrifolia, 1325 nucleotides. RefSeq lists it as uncharacterized. The record is from RefSeq and is a predicted model, not a curated record. NCBI's taxonomy places the organism in Eukaryota, Viridiplantae, Streptophyta, Magnoliopsida, Proteales, Proteaceae. The transcript is spliced from 5 exons.